GUGGCCGUAGCUCAAGAGUUAGAGUUCCUGGCUGUGAACCAGGAGAUUCGGGUGCGAUUCCCGACGGCCACC
Molecule: transfer RNA, 72 nt
Filed under: Chthoniobacter flavus
Lineage: Bacteria; Pseudomonadati; Verrucomicrobiota; Spartobacteria; Chthoniobacterales; Chthoniobacteraceae
Also listed under: 1 other name
Description: tRNA-His
Rfam family: tRNA
About the family: Transfer RNA (tRNA) molecules are approximately 80 nucleotides in length. Their secondary structure includes four short double-helical elements and three loops (D, anti-codon, and T loops).
Source: RNAcentral